Molecule: ribosomal RNA, 819 nt
Filed under: uncultured bacterium
Lineage: Bacteria
Description: bacterial SSU rRNA
Rfam family: Bacterial small subunit ribosomal RNA
Source: RNAcentral
GCAAGUCGUACGAGAAAGUCUCUUCGGAGGCGAGUAAAGUGGCGCACGGGUGAGUAACGCGUGGGUAAUCUGCCCUUAGGUUUGGGAUAACCCCGGGAAACCGGAGCUAACACCGAAUAAGACCACGAUGACUUCGGUCGAUGUGGGAAAACAUGGCCUCUCCUUGGAAGCUAUGGCCAAUGGAUGAGCCCGCGUUUGAUUAGCUUGUUGGUGAGGUAACGGCUCACCAAGGCUCCGAUCAAUAGCUGGUCUGAGAGGAUGAUCAGCCACACUGGAACUGAGACACGGUCCAGACUCCUACGGGAGGCAGCAGUCGGGAAUAUUGGGCAAUGGGCGAAAGCCUGACCCAGCAACGCCGCGUGAAGGAUGAAGGCCUUCGGGUCGUAAACUUCUGUCGAGAGGGAAGAAUGCGUGCGGGUGAAUAAUCCGUACGUUUGACGGUACCUCCAAAGGAAGCACCGGCUAACUCCGUGCCAGCAGCCGCGGUAAUACGGAGGGUGCAAGCGUUGUUCGGAUUUAUUGGGCGUAAAGCGAGUGUAGGCGGUUUAGCAAGUCGGAUGUGAAAUCCCAGGGCCCAACCCUGGAACUGCAUCCGAUACUGUUAGGCUAGAGUCCCGGAGAGGGUGGCGGAAUUCCCGGUGUAGGGGUGAAAUCCGUAGAUAUCGGGAGGAACACCAGUGGCGAANGCGGCCACCUGGACNGUGACUGACGCUGANACUCGAAAGCGUGGGUAGCAAACNNNANUAGAUACCCUGGUAGUCCACGCCGUAAACGGUGAGAGCUCGUCGUANUGGGUAUUGACCCCUGCUGUGACCAAGU